UGCAAAGAAGAGCAAUUUGGUUGUUCGUCUGUCUCAUCAGCAGAAAGUUAAUGGUUCAAAUCCAUUCUUUGCAC
Molecule: transfer RNA, 74 nt
Filed under: Chrysochromulina parva
Lineage: Eukaryota; Haptophyta; Prymnesiales; Chrysochromulinaceae
Also listed under: 1 other name
Description: tRNA-Met
Rfam family: tRNA
About the family: Transfer RNA (tRNA) molecules are approximately 80 nucleotides in length. Their secondary structure includes four short double-helical elements and three loops (D, anti-codon, and T loops). Further hydrogen bonds mediate the characteristic L-shaped molecular structure. tRNAs have two regions of fundamental functional importance: the anti-codon, which is responsible for specific mRNA codon recognition, and the 3' end, to which the tRNAs corresponding amino acid is attached (by aminoacyl-tRNA synthetases). tRNAs cope with the degeneracy of the genetic code in two manners: having more than one tRNA (with a specific anti-codon) for a particular amino acid; and 'wobble' base-pairing, i.e. permitting non-standard base-pairing at the 3rd anti-codon position.
Source: RNAcentral